GAGGCCUACGGGACGCAGCAGUGGGGAAUAUUGCACAAUGGGGGAAACCCUGAUGCAGCGACGCCGCGUGAGUGAAGAAGUAUUUCGGUAUGUAAAGCUCUAUCAGCAGGGAAGAAAAUGACGGUACCUGACUAAGAAGCCCCGGCUAACUACGUGCCAGCAGCCGCGGUAAUACGUAGGGGGCAAGCGUUAUCCGGAUUUACUGGGUGUAAAGGGAGCGUAGACGGCAGCGCAAGUCUGGAGUGAAAUGCCG
This 253-nucleotide ribosomal RNA is filed under the name uncultured bacterium. RNAcentral describes it as "partial 16S ribosomal RNA". It matches the Rfam family "Bacterial small subunit ribosomal RNA", at positions 334 to 604 of the family's 1533-position model. The record is from RNAcentral.